This 486-nucleotide ribosomal RNA is filed under the name uncultured bacterium. Its description in RNAcentral is "partial 16S ribosomal RNA". It matches the Rfam family "Bacterial small subunit ribosomal RNA", at positions 28 to 507 of the family's 1533-position model. The record is from RNAcentral.
GAUGAACGCUGGCGGCGUGCCUAAUACAUGCAAGUCGAACGCUGGAGAUCUAGCUUGCUAGAUCGAAGGAGUGGCGAACGGGUGAGUAAUACAUAAGCAACCUACCCACGAAGACUGGGAUAAUCUCUGGAAACGGGGACUAAUACCGGAUAGGUAAUCUGAAGGCAUCUUCUGGUUAUUAAAUGUUAAAAACACUGGUGGAUGGGCUUAUGGCGCAUUAGUUAGUUGGUGAGGUAACGGCCCACCAAGACGAUGAUGCGUAGCCGGCCUGAGAGGGUGAACGGCCACAUUGGGACUGAGACACGGCCCAGACUCCUACGGGAGGCAGCAGUAGGGAAUUUUCGGCAAUGGGGGCAACCCUGACCGAGCAACGCCGCGUGAGUGAAGACGGCCUUCGGGUUGUAAAGCUCUGUUGUAAGGGAAGAACGGUAGAUAGAGAAUAUCUAAGUGACGGUACCUUACCAGAAAGCAACGGCUAACUACGUG